Molecule: long non-coding RNA, 1620 nt
Organism: Sapajus apella (tufted capuchin)
Lineage: Eukaryota; Metazoa; Chordata; Mammalia; Primates; Cebidae
Exons: 3
Source: RefSeq, a predicted model, not a curated record
CCACUUUAACUUGAAAACCUCAAAUAUUCCUUUUCUGAAAGUCCCCCAGCCACUUCCUGAGAGCAGGAAUUUCUCGCCAGCCCCCUCUUCUCAAAUGCCAGCUUCCCUCCGUGUGGCUUGGAUGCCUCAAACUCAACACCCUCAUCGCCUUCAUUUCUGUCUUCCUCACAGAAGCCACAUGGCUCCGUGUGAGGCCUACACACAGCAGAGACAGACAUGAACUGGAAGACUCCAGAGGAGGUGUCUGCCUGGGAGCAGAGAUGGUAGGACCUGGGGCUGCUGCCUCACUGGGGAAGAGCUGGGUCCCAGGUGAGGACGUCUGGGCCCGGUUCUGAUCUGGCCCAGGCUGGCUCACAGACAGACAAUAUCAAUGUUCUGCGGUUCAGGCCAGGAUACAGAAAGCAUGGGAUAGAGCGGGAGCCUAGAGGAAUGUGACUCACCCAGCUGGGGGUGUUCAGAGAAAACAGGGAAAGGUAAAGUGUCCUGGACUCAGCUGGGGCUUGAAGAAUGAGAAGCUCUUGGCCAGGUGGAGGAAGGGAAGAAAGGAGUGUUUCAGGCAGGUAGUCCACUGGCCUACGUCUGGUACCUCUGCAAAUUAGACAGAGGUGCCCCCUCUGGGCAAAUGUAGACAGUGACAGAGAGGCCUGCACAUGUGAAGCUUGGCGUGCUCUGUGGCAGCAGAGAAUGGUCUUGAUGUCUAAGCCCUAAUCCCCGGACCCUGAGCAUCGGCUUGUGGCUGUGAUGAAGGACCUUGAGACGGAGCGCGUCUCCUGGAUGAUCUAAGCUAGCCCUGAGUGAUCACCAUGACCCUUCUAAGAGGGAGGCGGAGAGAGAGGUCAGUGUCAGAGAGAGAUGUGAUGACAGGAGCAGAGGUCAGGAAGAUUCGAAGAUGCUCCUCGGUGGCUUUGCAGAUGCAGGGAGGGCCAGGAACCAAGGAAUCAGGAGGCUUUUUGAAGCUGGGAAAGGCAAGCCAGUGGAUUCUUUCUCGGAAGCUCCAGAAGGAAUGCAGCCCUGCUGCCACCUUGGCUUUCAUCCUUUAAGACCCAUGUUUGGACUCCUGACCUCCAGAACUGUGAAGUUCUGAAACUUCCUACUAUUGGGUGAUUCAGUCUUUCAAAGCGAGAUUUGAAAGUGGGACUUCCAGUCGUCAGAAGCCAUCAGAACGCUCUCUUACUCACUUUCCCAAGUGAAGAAACAGAUUCAGACAAGGAGCUUCUUGUUCAGCAAACACUAUUUAGCCAAUAAUCUAAAUGGAAGUUAAUGAAGAAUUGUUUGACUCAGUGCUAUGGUCUGAAUGUUGUGUCCCUCCCAGAUUCAAAUUAAAAUCCUAACCCCAAGGAGGUGAUAUUAAGAGGUGGAGUCUUUGGAAGGUGAUUAUAUCAUGGAAGCGUCAUGAAUGGGAUUAGUGCCCUUAUAUAAAAGCCUCCUCACCCCUUCAACUAUGUGAGGACGUGGCAAGAAGAUGCCAUCUGUGAACGGGAAAGUAGGUCCUCAUCAAACUCCAAAUCUACCGACACCUUGAUCUUGGACUUCCCAGUCUCCAGAACCUUGAGAAAUAAAUUUCUGCUGUUUAUAAGAUGCUUGGCUUAUGGUAAUUUGUUAUAGCACCCUGAAUGGACU